CCGCCCGCCACAUCAUGAAAGCCGUUUGUACCCGAAGUCGCUGUGCUAACCGCAAGGAGGCAGGCGCCGAAGGUAUGGAUGGUGAUUGGGAUG
This 93-nucleotide ribosomal RNA is filed under the name uncultured bacterium. RNAcentral's name for it is "partial 16S ribosomal RNA". It matches the Rfam family "Bacterial small subunit ribosomal RNA", at positions 1390 to 1482 of the family's 1533-position model. The record is from RNAcentral.